This is a non-coding RNA of Paramuricea clavata, 73 nucleotides long. Lineage: Eukaryota; Metazoa; Cnidaria; Anthozoa; Malacalcyonacea; Plexauridae. The record is from the annotation of a GenBank genome assembly.
GACCGCGUAGCUCAGUUGGCAGAGCAUUGGGCUAGUAUUCCAAAGGUCGUGAGUUCGAAUCCCACCGUGGCCA